This is a non-coding RNA of Ictidomys tridecemlineatus (thirteen-lined ground squirrel), 2735 nucleotides long. The record is from RefSeq and is a predicted model, not a curated record. Lineage: Eukaryota; Metazoa; Chordata; Mammalia; Rodentia; Sciuridae.
AAUACAAAAUAGGGCUGGGAUGUGGCUCAGUGGUUGAGUCCCCCUGAGUUUAAUCCCUGGUACCAAAAAAAAAAAAAAAAUGAAAAAAGUUUGUUUUGGCUGGGGGCAAAGCUCAGUGGUGGAGUCCUUGCGUAGUGCAUAUGAAGCUCUGGGUCUAAUCCCUGGUAGGAGAGAAAAAAGAAAAGAAAAGAGUGCAUCCUUUCUCCGUACCUCGACUCCAGUACCCCCAGUCUCCUCCACUGUACCCUAAGUGUUCUUUUUUCCUUAGAGCUUUAUUACUUUCUAACAUACUACAUUAUUUCUGUAAGUGUAUCUUGUUUAUUAUCUGCUGGUCCCAGUGGAAUGUAAGCUCCAGGAAGGCAGAGAGCUUUGCUCCCUGAUUGUCCCAAGCACAGAACAGCACCUGGCACAUAGUGGACACCCAAAAAAUACUAAUCAAAGGCAUUCCCAGGAUUCAAGGCUAGUCGUGGCACAUAGUAGGCUCCCUGCUCCUGCUGUGGUACUCGGAAUUGAACUCAGGGCCUCAAUUGUGCUAGGCAAGUGUUCUACCACUGAGCUCCAUGGCAGCCCCAUGCUGCAAUUAUUUUGAGAAAGGGUCUUGGUAAGUUGCUGAGGCCGGCUUUGAACUUUCAAUCCUCCUUCCUCAGACUCCUGAGUAGCUGAGAUUACAGGUGUGUGUCACCACACCUGGCCAUUGUAGGAUCUUACUACUUGUUGAAUGUUUUUCUCUGAGGCAUGAAGAGGACUAAGUGUCAAAACAGAGAAGACAUAGGCAGCCUAGAAUGGUGAUUCAGAAGAUGGCAAGGUGCUGCCUCUGCUGGUUUGGAGUUUUGGCCCCAACCUGUCCUCCUGGUAUGAUCUGUGCGACUAACUUAACCUCUCUGAGCCUUUGUUUUCUUAUCUGCAAAUUGGAAAGCACAAGUAUCUUCCUUCUAAGGUAAUUAGGAGAAUUAAAGUGAUAACUCAGAAAGUCUGGUAAGUGCUUAAUAUAUUUGAGCAAUUAUUUUUAUGAGCUCUUAUUCUUUCAACUCUUUUUAAGGGGAAAUAAUUUCCAUAUCCUUUCUUACUCCUCAGGAUUAUUGGGAGGCAAAAAUACACAAUUCUGUAAGUGAAAAACACUUUGUAAGCCAUGCCCCACUUUACAGAGAUCAGGGAUGGUGAUUAUGAUUCUUCUGAAUCCCCCAUAAUACCUCACACUGUUCUGGGUGUGUGAGAAGUGCCCCGUGAGCCCCAUUCACCAAUGACACUGGGACAGCUUACGUCCUGGAAAAGAAAACCAUACUGGCCCCAAUCAAUAGCUAAAUUCCUUCUAAGACAUGACCCUUCCCAUGGCUGUCCAGAGGCAGAGCAGGGCCUUGGUUCUAUUUCAAAGCCCUCCUUCUUCUCUUCUUUCUUUCCUCCCAGGCUCCCAGAAACCUUGCCAGCAGUGAAAGCACAACCAUAUUGCUGGAGCUGAAAUCUGCAGCCUGUCCUUCAGAUGGUUUCUGCAGAUGGGCUGUUACUGUGCUGAAAGCAUUGAACUCUGCAAGUGGAUUGCACACCCAGCUCCUCUGAACCACUGAUAGGUGGCAGCUCAGUCUCUUCCCCCUAAUGCUCUUCUCUCUCUCUCUCUCUCUCUCUCUCUCUCUCUCUCUCUCUCUCCCUCCCUCCCUCCCUCCCUCCCUCCCUCUCUCUGACUUUUUGUUUGUUGACAGCAGCUGGGAACAUACCUAGCUGGGCACAAUUCUCUUCUAGGGAGAAGCAGCCCUCACUUACACGCAGGGGGGAGAUGAGAUUGCUGUUCAAAAGUACCAGCCUUUCUCUGAAGUGGUGUCACAUCCAGACAGAAAAAUAAAUGUGCUCUGCCCUCAUGGAUGAUGAGACGUCAUCUUUCAGACAGACUUUUGACACAGGGGGAUCAAGAUGAAGGAACUGAAGCUUAGAGAGGUCAAGUAACUUCUCUGAAGCCCCACAAUUGGUGCACGGUAGACAGGAGAUCUGGACCCAGUGCCUGACUCAGGGCCUGCGCUCUUGACCUUCAGGCUCUGCUACCUUCCACUCUUGCUCAUCAAACAGAAUACGGAACACUACAUGGAGUGUGAGAAUCCCUCCGUGCACCUUCCUGAUUUCUCUGAUGAUUUGAAUUCUGCAGUCAUCAGGGUCUACGGGACAUAAGGUAUCACUGCCAUGAGAAAAAGAAUAACUUGCACUUUGUGGCCCCACUCUGCCAGACAGAGGGUAGUGACUCAGUUCACCCCUGCAACAAUAGUGGAGACCAUGCCAGAAAUGGAAAUACUAGUUGCCAUCAAGGUGCAACUCAGAGUGUCUGUGGUCUCAGGCAGUGUUGGUCAGCAUCGGACUCAGGCUUCUGGGUAAUUGUAAGCCACGAUCAUGGUAACCUUCCCUACAUUGCCCAAGAAGCUAUUGCAAGUUUGACGAGAAUCAAGUUGGCUAGUGAUAGGAUGGCUGAGGACAUUUCAGUGGCAUAAACUGCCCCUUGUUUCCCAAUGCCAGUUCUCCCUUCUCCCUUCCACAGGGAGAGAACCCCCUAAUGGUUAGACGGGAACAAGGCACCCCAGCGUAAAAUCUACAUUUACCAGACUCUUGACAAAGUUCCACCAAUGGGACAUAAGUGGAGGUGUGUAACCUAUAGAGAUGGGUGUGCCUUUCUUAACUUUUUUUUUUUUUUUGUACUGGGAAUUGAACCCAGGAGUACAUAACCACUGAGCAACAUCCCCAGCCCCUUUUUGUAUUUU